AGCAGCCGCGGUAAUUCCAGCUCCAAUAGCGUAUAUUAAAGUUGUUGCAGUUAAAAAGCUCGUAGUUGAAUUUCGGGAUCAGUUUGUUGGUCGUGCUUCGGUACGUACUGUCAUUACUGGUUUCUCCCUUCUGAAGAACCUUGAUGUCAUUAAUUUGGUGUCUUGGGGAAUCAGGACUGUUACUUUGAAAAAAUUAGAGUGUUUAAAGCAGGCAUACGCUUGAAUACAUUAGCAUGGAAUAAUGAAAUAGGGCGUUUGAUUCUAUUUUGUUGGUUUCUAGGAUCGACGUAAUGAUUAAUAGGGAUAGUUGGGGGCAUUAGUAUUCAAUUGUCAGAGGUGAAAUUCUUGGAUUUAUUGAAGACUAACUACUGCGAAAGCAUUUGCCAAGGAUGUUUUCAUUAAUCAAGAACGAAAGUUAGGGGAUCGAAGACGAUCAGAUACCGUCGUAGUCUUAACCAUAAACUAUGCCGACUAGGGAUCGGAUGAUGUUAAUUUUUAAUGACUCAUUCGGCGCCUUACG
RNAcentral lists this ribosomal RNA (520 nucleotides) under uncultured Glomus. RNAcentral describes it as "SSU rRNA". It matches the Rfam family "Eukaryotic small subunit ribosomal RNA", at positions 569 to 1092 of the family's 1831-position model. Lineage: Eukaryota; Fungi; Glomeromycota; Glomeromycetes; Glomerales; Glomeraceae. The record is from RNAcentral.